GUCCCUUACUGACGCUAAAGCUCGAAGGUGCGGGUAUCGAACAGGAUUAGAUACCCUGGUAGUCCGCACGGUAAACGAUGGAUGCCCGCUGUUUGCGAUAUAUUGUAAGCGGCCAAGCGAAAGCGUUAAGCAUCCCACCUGGGGAGUACGCCGGCAACGGUGAAACUCAAAGGAAUUGACGGGGGCCCGCACAAGCGGAGGAACAUGUGGUUUAAUUCGAUGAUACGCGAGGAACCUUACCCGGGCUUGAACUGCAGGAGAACGAUCCAGAGAUGGUGAGGCCCUUCGGGGCUCCUGUGGAGGUGCUGCAUGGUUGUCGUCAGCUCGUGCCGUGAGGUGUCGGCUUAAGUGCCAUAACGAGCGCAACCCCUUUCGCCAGUUGCCAUCAGGUGAUGCUGGGCACUCCGGCGACACUGCCACCGUAAGGUGUGAGGAAGGUGGGGAUGACGUCAAAUCAGCACGGCCCUUACGUCCGGGGCUACACACGUGUUACAAUGGGUGGUACAGAGAGCAGGGUGCACGCAAGUUCACCCGAAUCAAGAAAGCCAUCCUCAGUUCGGAUUGGGGUCUGCAACCCGACCCCAUGAAGCUGGAUUCGCUA
Molecule: ribosomal RNA, 601 nt
Filed under: uncultured bacterium
Lineage: Bacteria
Description: bacterial SSU rRNA
Rfam family: Bacterial small subunit ribosomal RNA
Source: RNAcentral